CCGCCUCAAAGCGCAUGCGCCUGCUCCGCGGCGCCAAUACGCGCAGGCUCAGUAUGCGGCGCUGGCCUUUGGGACUAAUCUGACGCACCCUGGAGCGGAACGUGAAGGUAUUUGCCGCAGAUUUCAGCGCGCGUGGUUGAGGAGGGGCUCCGUGGUCACCGCCCCCUUGAGGAUGGGAAUUGAAAGAGUCAUCCCGUGCCUGUCAGGUGGCCAGAACCUAGGAGAUGAGUUUAACAGAACAGAUCGCAUGAACUGGUCCAGGAAGGCCUGUUGCUUCUAAGCCCAAGAACCCAGGAGCCCCUCUCCAUCAUCAUUUCAGAAGAAAAUAGUGGGCGCAGUUCAUUGGAGCACAUGCAUAUGAAUGUGAUAAAACGCAGUGGUUUGCAUAGCCAAGAUAAAAUGGAAUGAAUGACAAAACAAAUUUCCCCAAAGGAAAGAGAAGAGCUGUGAGAUCCGGAGAGGACCGGCAGAAAGAGAAAGUCGCAGAGAAGCUGUCCAGAGGCAGACCAGUCAUCAGUACCUAAUACCAUGAAGUUUUAGUCUUUGUUCAUCUAAAUACAGAGCAUUGCUUUGUACAAAGAAGAAUGGAAAAACAUCUCGGGAACAGAUAUAAUUGCCAGAGAAAACGCUACAGUCGGUAAUAGCCAAGGGGACAUGGGUUCGAGCCCUGGUCUGGGAAGAUCCCACAUGCUACGGAGCAACUAAGCCCAUGCGCCACAACUGCUGAGCCUGUGCUCUAGAGCCCACGAGCCACAACUACUGAGCCCACGUGCCACAACUACUGAAGCCCACGCACCUAGAGCCUGUGCUCUGCAACAAGAGAAGCCACGGCAAUGAGAAGCCUGUGCACUGCAAUGAAGAGUAACCCCUGCUCACCGCAACUAGAGAAAGCCCACACACAGCAACGAAGACCCAGCG
This is a long non-coding RNA of Balaenoptera ricei (Rice's whale), 918 nucleotides long. RefSeq lists it as uncharacterized. The record is from RefSeq and is a predicted model, not a curated record. The transcript is spliced from 7 exons. NCBI's taxonomy places the organism in Eukaryota, Metazoa, Chordata, Mammalia, Artiodactyla, Balaenopteridae.